Molecule: ribosomal RNA, 2323 nt
Filed under: Streptococcus pneumoniae
Lineage: Bacteria; Bacillati; Bacillota; Bacilli; Lactobacillales; Streptococcaceae
Description: bacterial LSU rRNA
Rfam family: Bacterial large subunit ribosomal RNA
Source: RNAcentral
UUAAGUUAAUAAGGGCGCACGGUGGAUGCCUUGGCACUAGGAGCCGACGAAGGACGUGACAAACGACGAUAUGCCUUGGGUAGCUGUAAGUAAGCGAUGAUCCAGGGAUUUCCGAAUGGGGGAACCCAACAGGUAAUACCUGUUACCCACAUCUGUUAAGGAUGUGAGGAGGAAGACGCAGUGAACUGAAACAUCUAAGUAGCUGCAGGAAGAGAAAGCAAAAGCGAUUGCCUUAGUAGCGGCGAGCGAAACGGCAGAAGGGCAAACCGAAGAGUUUACUCUUCGGGGUUGUAGGACUGCAAUGUGGACUCAAAGAUUAUAGAAGAAUGAUUUGGGAAGAUCAGCCAAAGAGAGUAAUAGCCUCGUAUUUAAAAUAGUCUUUGUACCUAGCAGUAUCCUGAGUACGGCGGGACACGUGAAAUCCCGUCGGAAUCUGGGAGGACCAUCUCCCAACCCUAAAUACUCCCUAGUGACCGAUAGUGAACCAGUACCGUGAGGGAAAGGUGAAAAGCACCCCGGGAGGGGAGUGAAAUAGAACCUGAAACCGUGUGCCUACAACAAGUUCGAGCCCGUUAAUGGGUGAGAGCGUGCCUUUUGUAGAAUGAACCGGCGAGUUACGUUAUGAUGCGAGGUUAAGUUGAAGAGACGGAGCCGUAGGGAAACCGAGUCUGAAUAGGGCGCCUUAGUAUCAUGACGUAGACCCGAAACCAUGUGACCUACCCAUGAGCAGGUUGAAGGUGCGGUAAGACGCACUGGAGGACCGAACCAGGGCACGUUGAAAAGUGCUUGGAUGACUUGUGGGUAGCGGAGAAAUUCCAAACGAACUUGGAGAUAGCUGGUUCUCUCCGAAAUAGCUUUAGGGCUAGCGUCGACAUUAGAGAUUCUUGGAGGUAGAGCACUGUUUGGGUGAGGGGUCCAUCCCGGAUUACCAAUCUCAGAUAAACUCCGAAUGCCAAUGAAUUAUGGUCGGCAGUCAGACUGCGAGUGCUAAGAUCCGUAGUCGAAAGGGAAACAGCCCAGACCACCAGCUAAGGUCCCAAAAUAAUUGUUAAGUGGAAAAGGAUGUGGGGUUGCACAGACAACUAGGAUGUUAGCUUAGAAGCAGCUAUUCAUUCAAAGAGUGCGUAAUAGCUCACUAGUCGAGUGACCCUGCGCCGAAAAUGUACCGGGGCUAAAACAAUUUACCGAAGCUGUGGAUACCUUUAUAGGUAUGGUAGGAGAGCGUUCUAUGUGUGAUGAAGGUAUACCGUGAGGAGUGCUGGAACGCAUAGAAGUGAGAAUGCCGGUAUGAGUAGCGAAAGACAGGUGAGAAUCCUGUCCACCGUAAGACUAAGGUUUCCAGGGGAAGGCUCGUCCGCCCUGGGUUAGUCGGGACCUAAGGAGAGACCGAAAGGUGUAUCCGAUGGACAACAGGUUGAUAUUCCUGUACUAGAGUAUGUAGUGAUGGAGGGACGCAGUAGGCUAACUAAAGCAGACGAUUGGAAGAGUCUGUCUAAGCAGUGAGGUGUGAAUUGAGUCAAAUGCUUAAUUCUAUAACAUUGAGCUGUGAUGGGGAGCGAAGUUUAGUAGCGAAGUUAGUGACGUCACACUGCCAAGAAAAGCUUCUAGCGUUUAAACAUACUCUACCCGUACCGCAAACCGACACAGGUAGUCGAGGCGAGUAGCCUCAGGUGAGCGAGAGAACUCUCGUUAAGGAACUCGGCAAAAUGACCCCGUAACUUCGGGAGAAGGGGUGCUGACUUAAAGUCAGCCGCAGUGAAUAGGCCCAAGCAACUGUUUAUCAAAAACACAGCUCUCUGCUAAAUCGUAAGAUGAUGUAUAGGGGGUGACGCCUGCCCGGUGCUGGAAGGUUAAGAGGAGUGCUUAGCGUAAGCGAAGGUAUGAAUUGAAGCCCCAGUAAACGGCGGCCGUAACUAUAACGGUCCUAAGGUAGCGAAAUUCCUUGUCGGGUAAGUUCCGACCCGCACGAAAGGCGUAAUGAUUUGGGCACUGUCUCAACGAGAGACUCGGUGAAAUUUUAGUACCUGUGAAGAUGCAGGUUACCCGCGACAGGACGGAAAGACCCCAUGGAGCUUUACUGCAGUUUGAUAUUGAGUGUCUGUACCACAUGUACAGGAUAGGUAGGAGUCUAAGAGAUCGGGACGCCAGUUUCGAAGGAGACGCUGUUGGGAUACUACCCUUGUGUUAUGGCCACUCUAACCCAGAUAGGUGAUCCCUAUCGGAGACAGUGUCUGACGGGCAGUUUGACUGGGGCGGUCGCCUCCUAAAAGGUAACGGAGGCGCCCAAAGGUUCCCUCAGAAUGGUUGGAAAUCAUUCGCAGAG